Molecule: ribosomal RNA, 370 nt
Filed under: Streptomyces pharetrae
Lineage: Bacteria; Bacillati; Actinomycetota; Actinomycetes; Kitasatosporales; Streptomycetaceae
Description: bacterial SSU rRNA
Rfam family: Bacterial small subunit ribosomal RNA
Source: RNAcentral
GCCCUGCACUCUGGGACAAGCCCUGGAAACGGGGUCUAAUACCGGAUACUGAUUGUCUUGGGCAUCCUUGAUGAUCGAAAGCUCCGGCGGUGCAGGAUGAGCCCGCGGCCUAUCAGCUUGUUGGUGAGGUAACGGCUCACCAAGGCGACGACGGGUAGCCGGCCUGAGAGGGCGACCGGCCACACUGGGACUGAGACACGGCCCAGACUCCUACGGGAGGCAGCAGUGGGGAAUAUUGCACAAUGGGCGCAAGCCUGAUGCAGCGACGCCGCGUGAGGGAUGACGGCCUUCGGGUUGUAAACCUCUUUCAGCAGGGAAGAAGCGAAAGUGACGGUACCUGCAGAAGAAGCGCCGGCUAACUACGUGCCAG